AGUUAAACAGCCAGGAGAGGAGUUUCUGUCUGGUUCCUCUGGGGUGGACCUAGAGAGCCAGAUAUUUUCUAUCCUGUGGCUUUCAUUGUGAUUCAGCCCAUCCCUGUGGAUCCUGCUGCUGCUGCUGAGAGUGAUUUCCAACAGAGCUACUCAAAACUCCAGAGGACAACUGAUCCCCCUUUUAAAGAAAAAAAUCUGGAGGAGGGAUGGGGGAAAUCACACUCUCAUCUCAUGGCUGCAGAAGUAUAUUUUCUUCUGAAGUAGAGAAAGAAUUUCCAAAAGGAAAGGUAAGUCCCUAAGGAUGUAUUCAUUCUACUUUCUCAUUCAUUUUUCUCUCUUAUUAGUUA
This 347-nucleotide long non-coding RNA is filed under the name Monodelphis domestica (gray short-tailed opossum). RNAcentral describes it as "lncRNA (ENSMODG00000048501.1)". Lineage: Eukaryota; Metazoa; Chordata; Mammalia; Didelphimorphia; Didelphidae. The record is from RNAcentral.